GACGAACGCUGGCGGCGUGCUUAACACAUGCAAGUCGAACGGAAAGGCCCCUUUGGGGGUACUCGAGUGGCGAACGGGUGAGUAACACGUGCGUAACCUGCCCUUGACUUCGGGAUAACUUCAGGAAACUGGGGCUAAUACCGGAUAGGAAUCCUUGCUGCAUGGUGGGGGUUGGAAAGCUUCGGCGGUUUUGGAUGGACUCUCGGCUUAUCAGCUUGUUGGUGGGGUAGUGGCUUACCAAGGCUUUGACGGGUAGCCGGCCUGAGAGGGCGACCGGCCACAUUGGGACUGAGAUACAGCCCAGACUCCUACGGGAGGCAGCAGUGGGGAAUAUUGCACAAUGGGCGGAAGCCUGAUGCAGCAACGCCGCGUGCGGGAUGACGGCCUUCGGGUUGGAAACCGCUUUCAGCAGGGGCGAAGCUUGUGGUGACGGUACCUGCAGAAGAAGCACCGGCUAACUACGUG
Molecule: ribosomal RNA, 465 nt
Filed under: uncultured bacterium
Lineage: Bacteria
Description: partial 16S ribosomal RNA
Rfam family: Bacterial small subunit ribosomal RNA
Source: RNAcentral